This is a non-coding RNA of Misgurnus anguillicaudatus (oriental weatherfish), 3003 nucleotides long. Lineage: Eukaryota; Metazoa; Chordata; Actinopteri; Cypriniformes; Cobitidae. The record is from RefSeq and is a predicted model, not a curated record.
CCCCUUACAUUAUCCACACCUCAGACUGAAUCUUCCUGUCAAUCAGAAGUGGAGGGAAGGCCACAAGCGGAGUCUCAGCCAAUCCCGUCGCUCGUGUCUGCGGUUAAUUUGACGCCCAGUAAAGAAGAAAGAGUUACACAAGAUUUUAAGCACCUUCCAGAUUCUCAGCUUUACUUUGAGUCCAAACUCCUUCCGGAUUCUAACUUGUAUCCUAUUUUCAGAAGGGGGCGUGGCCAAACUGGAAAUCAUUUAUCUCCGUCCCAGACAAGUAUGUGUAAAAACGGCCUUCAAAUGACACAGAUGCGGACUGUAAUCUGGAGUCCAUUCCUGAGCGACCACAUUCAAAAUAAGUAUAUUUUUUCUGAAAUAGUUUUUUUCUAUGUGCUUUGGUGGGCAGAGAAGUUGGUUAUCAUGUCAUUUUGUUAUGAUGUGUCUAUUGGAGUCUCCAGGUGCACUUUCUUUGAAAGGACGCCUGGAUUUAAAAAAAAAAAGCUCACAGAAACUAAAUUUUUUGGAGUAUCAUUCUGAAAUUUGAAUCACAACACGGUCAGUUGUUAGUUUACCUAUAUGGUGUCCAAAUAUACAUUUCAUGUAUAUUUUACCUUAUUUUACUCUGCUCCUAUACUACUCGGAGUUGUUAUGACUAUUAGGCAACAAAAAAGUGUCUAAUUUCAAACAAGACCAGUGGCUGGUUGCAUAAACAUAGCCGUGACGUUAAGACUGCGUCUUAAGUAUGAUUCUGACUAACUAGCAAUUAGUUAGGGCUAAUCAGUCUUAUUAUUUGGAUUUAUAUUAGACCAAUCUACCUUUCUAUGUAACAUACUUAAAACAGUUAUGAUCAGUCUUGAAGAAAAAAAUUCAUGACUAACUUUUAAAGCUAGUCUUAAAGUUUUAUGCAACCGGCCACAGAAUUAUGAAUAUAGACCAUAGGCUUUAAGAGCUGCAGACGUUUUAGUUUGGGUAUGUCAUUUUUCAUAAAAUGCUCAAAAAUAAAAGUCCCGGCUAACAGGAUCGUAUUAACACACUCAUUGUCAUGUAUCAGCAAACUUUCUUUCUUGCUUUGACAGCAGGAGAGAAACAGUAAAUAAUUUGCUUAAUAUUUGUGCAUGAUUAUUAAGAAAUUAUUACUAUCAAUGAACUACCAUUACAUGAUAGACUGUAUGAUGGAUGACUGUAUAUACUACUAUGAGACAGAUAAAAACUGAUAAAAAAAGGGAAAAGAAAUGAUUACUGAGAAAUAUACAGAACUUGGCCCAUCCAUUUAAGACAAACAUCACUCUUUUAUGUGCACAUGCUCGUGGACUAAUAUUGGGUUAAAAUUUACUCAAUGCUGGGUAUUCUAACCCAUGGUUGCAUAACAACAACACAACAUUGGGUCAUUUUUAACCCAAUAAGACAAAAAAAGGAAUCCGCACUCACCAAAAAAAAAAAUUUUUUUUUAAUCACCGAAGUAACGUUUCGGGCUACCGCCCUUCUUCAGACUUCUUUUUUAACCCAUCACAUGUUUUGUCCAGUAUUUAUGUCCCAUUAUGGGUUAAAAAUAGUGCUGGGCAUAUAAUCUAGAUUAAUCGUAAAAAAAAAAAAAAGUUAUUUUUGCAUAAUAUACAAGUGUGUGCUGUGCGUAAUUAUUAUGUAUAAAUAAAUACACACACAUUCAUGUAUUUAUUUAAGAAACAUUUACAUGUGUAUAUAUAUUUAUAUUUUUAUAUAUUCUAUAUUUUAUAUAAAUUAAUAAAAAAUUAUAUUCAAAUAAAAAUUGACAUUUUUAUGUGUGUGUUUUUAAAUAUACAUAAUAAUUGCACACAACACACACACAUACAUUACGCAAAAAAGUACUUUUUUAUUUUGUAUGCGAUAAAUCUAGAUUAAUCUUUGCCCAGCACUAGUUACAAAUAUUUUUAGAGUGAAAGUAUGGUUUUGUCAACUUAAAACUAAUCCCUCAACUUUGAGGAACUUUAACUUUCUUAUGCCCCAGGUACAUAUACAGUAGAUUGCAUCUAUAACCCCGCUGAACAGACCUAAGAUGGCUGGCUGGUUUUAAGUGGUCUCCCAGCCUGUUUUAGCUGCUUUAACAGGCUGGAUUUAAAGAGGGUUUGGCUGGUCAGGGUGGAAGACCAGGUGACCCAUUAGUUUGACCAGCCACCUAACUUAGGUCCACGUGCUCAUCUCCACUCAAACCUUUGCAGAGAAAUGAAACAGUGACUGCAUGUCUGAGCUACAGUCGCCACCUGGUGGUGAUAAAAAUUAAUAGCUUAACAAAAGUAUAACUUCAGUACGUUUUUGGUGGUAUGGUACAGUUUUAUAUAGAUUAAUGGUAUAUGGUAAAGUGUGCUUUAGCUUAAAGGUAGAUAUAACAGUGAAUGAAGAUAAAGGCAUGUGGGCUUGACUGGCAGGGCAAAAUCCUUAAACUGAACUUUAUUAACUAUAUCUAAACACAGAGUAUCAGUGAAGCAAGUUUCAGAGAUUUCUACAUAAAAUCUAUAAUGUAAAGACUGACUAAGGUAAUCUUUUUUUUAAUAAGGUAUAUCUCUUUUUAAAGUAGUGUUAUGCCACAUUUAACCUCUAGGCUUCACUUGCUUUAGAUAUAGAUAUUGUUGCAUAAAAUUGGUUUGGGGGCAGAACAAAUAUUUUUGGUAGUGGAAACAUUUUUCAAAAUCUUUUCCUCCCAUCUCAUACAGUAUUUUGUCCAUCACCAUGACCUUUUAGUUUCUGUAGUGGUUCUUCAUCAGUCAGCAUGUCAAAUGUUCUUUAAUGUAUUUAGGAAUUAAUAUUAUGGAGUGUUUAGUGAAUUUAACCCUGCAGUAAACCCAGCAAUAUGUAACUCUGUCUCUGGUGAUGAUUUAACUGCUGUAAGAGAUUAUCCUCUUUGUAAUUGUCUGUUUUACUGACUGCCAUAUAAGCAAUGAAAAAACUUUUGUAUGUAUCAUGUAUUAAAAUAUAUGACCUCAGAUGCUUUUUGAUAAUUUAAAUAAAACACAAAAAUCUCAGCAUGUCUGUGUUUUA